GACCUCGGAUCAGGUAGGGAU
Molecule: ribosomal RNA, 21 nt
Filed under: Aspergillus flavus
Lineage: Eukaryota; Fungi; Ascomycota; Eurotiomycetes; Eurotiales; Aspergillaceae
Also listed under: 5 other names
Description: partial 28S ribosomal RNA
Source: RNAcentral